GAUGAAGAACGUAGCGAAAUGCGAUAAGUAAUGUGAAUUGCAGAAUUCAGUGAAUCAUCGAAUCUUUGAACGCACCUUGCACCCUUUGGCAUUCCGAAGGGUAUGCUCGUUUGAGUGUCAUUGUACUCUCACUCUCCCGAUGCUUUUGGAUCGGGAGUGGUGGACUUGGGUGUUGCUGCUUUGCUGUGGCUCGCCUCAAAUGGAGUAGUGCAACUCUUGGUUGGACAUAGUACGGCGUGAUAAGUGUCUUCGCCGGCGCCUCAUUAUAGAGGGUGGCCGAUCGGGAGCUCUGUGCUUCAAACCGUCUUCGGACAACAUCUGAUAACUUGACCUCAAAUCGAGUAGGACUACCCGCUGAACUUAAGCAUAUCAAUAAGCGGAGGA
RNAcentral lists this unclassified non-coding RNA (384 nucleotides) under soil metagenome. Its description in RNAcentral is "partial contains 5.8S ribosomal RNA, internal transcribed spacer 2, and large subunit ribosomal RNA". The stretch from base 1 to 120 matches the Rfam family "5.8S ribosomal RNA", at positions 35 to 154 of the family's 154-position model. The record is from RNAcentral.